This is an RNA transcript of Eleginops maclovinus (Patagonian blennie), 3240 nucleotides long. It is a transcript of the gene named TAR DNA binding protein b, with no coding region annotated. The record is from RefSeq and is a predicted model, not a curated record. Lineage: Eukaryota; Metazoa; Chordata; Actinopteri; Perciformes; Eleginopidae. The transcript is spliced from 6 exons.
UUUUCGCUGGAGUAAAAACCAUUCUGGUAGGCCGUAAAUGGUGCUGUAAUGUUUCGCACCGUGGAAAAAUAAAUAUAUUCUCUUGUGUUAUUAUUGCUUGUCAUUUGAGACGAGAAGGGCUUUGUGCCUACGUUGGAUGACCUUAUCAACCGGCGCAAGCUAUCUUCACAAAAUCGCGUUCUUAGCUUUGUUAACGAGGGACCGUACGCAGUUUUCAUUACGCCGCACAGUGGAACGCUCGUGCGGUGUUGACUGACGCCACACAUCUCCGCGACGAACAAAGGAAGAGGCUGGUGCACCCUUGUUACAGCUUUUGAGAGAGAUAUUAUACAAUAAUUCAGCUAAAACCAACCCCAACGACGCUUUUGUUAUGGGUUUUUAACUUUAUAUUUUUUUAUUCGGAAUAACAAAACAAUUAGCCUGACUCACUCAGUCUUGUUAGCAACAUUGGCUAACGUUAGCUGCGAUUGUGGACAACUGGCAAGCUAACUGCUAACUUUAGCAUUGUUUUGAUUCCGGCCGGAACUUUUUAAGUUUUAUGCACAAUGGCUGAAGUAUAUAUUCGAGUGGCAGAAGAGGAAAAUGAGGAGCCAAUGGAGAUUCCUUCCGAGGACGACGGCACUGUUCUCCUUUCAACAGUGGCGGCUCAGUUUCCAGGGGCUUGCGGCCUACGCUUCAGGAGCCCCCUGUCUCAGUGCAUGCGGGGAGUUCGUCUGGUGGAAGGGAUCCUACACGCACCAGAAAACGGAUGGGGCAAUGUCGUCUAUGUGGUGAACUAUCCGAAAGUUUCUCUCUGUGUUGGUCACACUUCAGACAACAAAAGGAAAAUGGAGGAAAUUGAUGCCUCAUCUGCAGUGAAAAUGAAGAGAGGGGACAUGAAAACAUCAGAUCUGAUUGUACUGGGCCUUCCUUGGAAAACAUCUGAGCAGGACUUGAAAGACUACUUUAGCACAUUUGGAGAAGUCAUCAUGGUUCAGGUAAAACGUGAUGCCAAGACAGGAAACUCUAAAGGGUUUGGCUUUGUGAGAUUCACAGAAUAUGAGGCUCAAGAAAAGGUGGUCACCCAACGCCAUAUGAUUGACGGAAGAUGGUGUGACUGCAAGCUCCCUAACUCAAAGCAAGGGCCUGAUGAGCCAUUGAGGAGCCGGAAGGUGUUUGUUGGCCGUUGCACAGAAGACAUGACCACUGACGACCUGCGGCAGUUCUUUAUGCAGUAUGGAGAAGUCACAGACGUCUUCAUUCCAAAGCCAUUCCGUGCUUUUGCCUUCGUCACAUUUGCAGAUGAUCAGGUUGCCCAGUCUCUCUGUGGAGAGGACCUAAUAAUUAAAGGUGUCAGUGUUCACAUCUCAAAUGCUGAGCCCAAACACGGCAAUAGGCAGUUUGAUCGCACGACACGGUUUGGAAAUGGUUUUGGAGCUCAAGCAUUUGGUAGCAGCCGUAGCGGGGUUGGGAGCAGCACUAACAGUAGUCUGGCUAAUUUUGGUUCCUUCAGUCUGAAUCCGGCUAUGAUGGCUGCGGCCCAGGCAGCUCUUCAGAGUAGUUGGGGGAUGAUGGGUAUGUUAGCUAGCCAGCAGCAAACAUCCACCUCAGGCAGCACCUCUAGUGGGACUAGCUCCAGCAGGGACCAGAGUCAGUCUUUCAGUACGGCCAAUAGCAACUACGGCGCCAGCUCGGCCAGUCUCGGCUGGGGAACCGGGUCAAACUCUACAACCAGCGGUAGUGGGUUUAGCUCAGGUUUUGGGUCCAGUAUGGAGUCAAAGUCAUCCGGGUGGGGUAUGUAAGCUAAAUGUUUGUAUGGUAAGUAUUCUGACAGAGAAGAGUCUUUUAACAUUUUAUUUCUGGUGUUAUUGCGUAUCUGAUAAACUUAACACUUUUGUGGAAGAUGUUUUGUACAUUUGGAAAAAAUGCUAAAGAUUUAAUUUAGAAAGUGUUGCAGUGAGUUGUUUACCAGGAUGUCUGACUAAAGUGCUAUUUUUGACGUCUCAUUUGUUUGUAUCCAUUUCAACUGGAUUCUCUAAUGCAUGUAUUGUGAAAUGUGAUAUAGCCAUUUUAAAAAUGCAUGAAUGUUUGUGGUUCACCAUUAUGCGGCUUUGUCACCAACCUAAAAGGCAAUCUUGCAUUGGAAAGAAUCUGGUUGAAACCUAAAUGUUUUAAGUGCAAUUUUAUUUGCAGUCAAGUUUUGUGGAAAAGCCUUCAUUGAAAUCUCUUCUGCAGUUCACCUCUCUUCCAUUUUCCUGUGAGGAAGCUCCUCUAUGGCAGCAUUCUUGGGGUGAUAUCGGUAUCAUUCUCCCUCUUCCCACCUGUAAAUGCUAUGCCAUCAAAGAACGGCUUCACUCCGCAUGUUCUAAGAGACGGGACCUUGGGCUCUGCUGGUCGAGGUCUCCGUUUGAACCCUGACUGAAGUCUGUUCUGGAUGAAGACGGAAGUACCAACACUUUCAGUGUGUGGCCUUCUCAGAUAUUGGGUAGUACCUGUCUUUUUGCUGCUUUUGAUGGCUUGUCGGUGUGAAUGAUCCCCCUUUGAUUAUCUACAGCGACUAUUAAGGUUAGAGGGCAAUUUUAAGGGGGGGGGGGGGUCAUUGUCAUUUGAACCCAACAAGAUGAGCUCAGCAGUCUGGCAUCAUCCUUCCAAACUAUCUUAUUUCAGUAAUUUGGCUUAAGUAAUUAAACAGCUAGUGAUACGUUGCUGAGCCUAAGAAUUAGGGACGUUUAGAUGGCCUUAUACACUUGGCAACCACUUGAUACGGUCGAUUGCUUUAGAUAAUACAAGGUGUAUUAACAAAGUGGCCACAGAGUGUACUCUCAGUCAACUGUACAAUUACAUAUUUGGAUAAUUUGUUUUAAGAAACAAGGUAGGUACAUUUAGCACAGUUCUGGCAAAUGCACAAAUAUAUCAUUUUGCAUCAGCAGGCCACAGGACAGAUAAGAUAUUAAUUCUAAGUGUACAUAAAACUACAGUUAUUUAUUAAAUGUCUUAAGUGUAGAAUCCCCAUAAAAGUAAUGACAGCCAUGACACUUAAAUGAUUGAUAAUAGCAUUAACGUUUAUUUUGAAUGUUGGGCACAAGUGAGACACUGCAGGGCUGCCUUUGUCCUUUCCUUAUUCUUUGCUCUCCUCCUCAGUGUCUCUGCUUUUCCUCUUCCCAGUACUCUUCUUUUUCAAUUCCCUCUGCUCCUGGUUCAGUUCUUCACUUUUGUUUUGUAUGUGGGUGGACUGAAAUAAAUAAAGGCAAGUUAAACAAA